AAGCUGUGCUACCAUGGACUGGACUCCUCUCCUCCUCAUGCUCCUGUCUCACUGCACAGGUUCCCUGUCCCAGCCUGUGCUGACCCAGCCGCCCUCCCUGUCUGCAUCUCUGGGAACAACAGCCAGACUCACCUGCACCCUGAGCAGCGGCUUCAAUGUUGGAGGCUACUACAUAAAUUGGUUCCAGCAGAAGCCAGGGAGCCCUCCCCGGUAUCUCCUGUACUACUACUCAGACUCAGAUAAGCACCAGGGCCCCGGGGUCCCCAGCUGCUUCUCUGGGUCCAAAGAUGCCUCGGCCAAUGCGGGGCUUCUGCUCAUCUCUGGACCACAGCCUGAGGACGAGGCUGACUAUUACUGUGCUACAUAUCAUGGCAGUGGUUACUCACAGUGA
Molecule: non-coding RNA, 391 nt
Organism: Lynx canadensis (Canada lynx)
Lineage: Eukaryota; Metazoa; Chordata; Mammalia; Carnivora; Felidae
Source: the annotation of a RefSeq genome assembly